GACGAACGCUGGCGGUGUGCUUAACACAUGCCAGUGGAGCGACGAACCAGAGCUUGCCCUUGGGCAGAGCCUCGAACGGGUGAGUAACACGUGGGUAACGUACCCCCAUUACCGGGACAACCCGAGGAAACUCGGGCUAAUACCGGAUGUGCCCUCCUCCCAUGAGGGAUGCGAGUAAAGAAAGCUUCGGCCUCCGCAUCUGGGGCGGCCGGGGGACUGUUAGUUGGUUGGGGGGGUACCGGCCUACCAGGACUGCGAUAGGUAGCUAGUCUGGGAGGACGAUCAGCCACACUGAGACUGAGACACGGCCCAGAGUCCUACUGGAGGCAGCAGUGGGGAAAGUGGAGAAUUGCGAGACAUCGUGAGGCAGAACCACCGAGUGGGGGAAGAAGGCCUUCGGGUUGUAAACCCUUUUCAGGAGGGACGAAGGCAGGCAGGUGCAGAGCCGGGCCGGUUGACGGUACCUCGACAAGAAGCCACGGCUAACUACGUG
RNAcentral lists this ribosomal RNA (493 nucleotides) under uncultured bacterium. Its description in RNAcentral is "partial 16S ribosomal RNA". It matches the Rfam family "Bacterial small subunit ribosomal RNA", at positions 28 to 507 of the family's 1533-position model. The record is from RNAcentral.